ACGCUGGCGGCAGGCCUAACACAUGCAAGUCGAGCGGUAGAGAGAAGCUUGCUUCUCUUGAGAGCGGCGGACGGGUGAGUAAUGCCUAGGAAUCUGCCUGGUAGUGGGGGAUAACGUCCGGAAACGGACGCUAAUACCGCAUACGUCCUACGGGAGAAAGCAGGGGACCUUCGGGCCUUGCGCUAUCAGAUGAGCCUAGGUCGGAUUAGCUAGUUGGUGGGGUAAUGGCUCACCAAGGCGACGAUCCGUAACUGGUCUGAGAGGAUGAUCAGUCACACUGGAACUGAGACACGGUCCAGACUCCUACGGGAGGCAGCAGUGGGGAAUAUUGGACAAUGGGCGAAAGCCUGAUCCAGCCAUGCCGCGUGUGUGAAGAAGGUCUUCGGAUUGUAAAGCACUUUAAGUUGGGAGGAAGGGCUGUAAAUUAAUACUUUGCUGUUUUGACGUUACCGACAGAAUAAGCACCGGCUAACUCUGUGCCAGCAGCCGCGGUAAUACAGAGGGUGCAAGCGUUAAUCGGAAUUACUGGGCGUAAAGCGCGCGUAGGUGGUUCGUUAAGUUGGAUGUGAAAUCCCCGGGCUCAACCUGGGAACUGCAUUCAAAACUGACGAGCUAGAGUAUGGUAGAGGGUGGUGGAAUUUCCUGUGUAGCGGUGAAAUGCGUAGAUAUAGGAAGGAACACCAGUGGCGAAGGCGACCACCUGGACUGAUACUGACACUGAGGUGCGAAAGCGUGGGGAGCAAAC
Molecule: ribosomal RNA, 745 nt
Filed under: uncultured bacterium
Lineage: Bacteria
Description: bacterial SSU rRNA
Rfam family: Bacterial small subunit ribosomal RNA
Source: RNAcentral